This 736-nucleotide ribosomal RNA is filed under the name uncultured Fusobacterium sp. RNAcentral's name for it is "bacterial SSU rRNA". It matches the Rfam family "Bacterial small subunit ribosomal RNA", at positions 28 to 776 of the family's 1533-position model. The record is from RNAcentral. Lineage: Bacteria; Fusobacteriati; Fusobacteriota; Fusobacteriia; Fusobacteriales; Fusobacteriaceae.
GAUGAACGCUGACAGAAUGCUUAACACAUGCAAGUCUACUUGAAUUUGGGUUUUUUAACUUCGAUUUGGGUGGCGGACGGGUGAGUAACGCGUAAAGAACUUGCCUCACAGCUAGGGACAACAUUUGGAAACGAAUGCUAAUACCUAAUAUUAUGAUUUUAGGGCAUCCUAAGAUUAUGAAAGCUAUAUGCGCUGUGAGAGAGCUUUGCGUCCCAUUAGCUAGUUGGAGAGGUAACGGCCCACCAAGGCGAUGAUGGGUAGCCGGCCUGAGAGGGUGAUCGGCCACAAGGGGACUGAGACACGGCCCUUACUCCUACGGGAGGCAGCAGUGGGGAAUAUUGGACAAUGGACCAAGAGUCUGAUCCAGCAAUUCUGUGUGCACGAUGAAGUUUUUCGGAAUGUAAAGUGCUUUCAGUUGGGAAGAAAAAAAUGACGGUACCAACAGAAGAAGUGACGGCUAAAUACGUGCCAGCAGCCGCGGUAAUACGUAUGUCACAAGCGUUAUCCGGAUUUAUUGGGCGUAAAGCGCGUCUAGGUGGUUAUGUAAGUCUGAUGUGAAAAUGCAGGGCUCAACUCUGUAUUGCGUUGGAAACUGUGUAACUAGAGUACUGGAGAGGUAAGCGGAACUACAAGUGUAGAGGUGAAAUUCGUAGAUAUUUGUAGGAAUGCCGAUGGGGAAGCCAGCUUACUGGACAGAUACUGACGCUGAAGCGCGAAAGCGUGGGUAGCAAACAGG